Brassica napus (rape) is the source of this 775-nucleotide long non-coding RNA. RefSeq lists it as uncharacterized. Lineage: Eukaryota; Viridiplantae; Streptophyta; Magnoliopsida; Brassicales; Brassicaceae. The transcript is spliced from 2 exons. The record is from RefSeq and is a predicted model, not a curated record.
UCCAUCCAAGCUUCUUUGAUCUUCCAUGAUAUCUCUUUCUUGAUCUCUAAUCCUUUUAAUUGAGCUCGUGUGCCUGGCCAUCGGAGAAGACGUGGCGCAUCCACCAUCUUCAAUCACCACCGGCCACUGUCAUUGGAGGAGAGCCACUGUUGCUGGAUGAUCACCGUUGGAGAGCACCGGAGCUAUCUCCACGCUUUGUCAGUGAUAUGACGGUGAACCGAGAUGAAGUGACACAAACCCGCAUUAGAACCACGACGUUCGCCACCACCAACCACCAUGGACACCGAUCUACACCACCUCCUGCCGCGAACCAACGGGGUGACUCAUCUCAUUUCACCGUAAAGCCGCACUCUGGUAGGCGAAGCCAUCGUCAUCAACCGUAAGCCUCAUGCGUACGAUUAAGUUGUCCCCUUUUUCCUCGUUACUUGAUUAACAAGUAUAAUUGUCAUAAACCCUAUUUAUAUUUUAUUUUAGUUAUUCCUCUUGCGUUGUGUUUGUUUCUUUCCGAUCUGGUGUGAUGCGGGCGAGACGUCAAGAGCUAAGGCAAAACCCUAGUUUUCUUCUUGUUCUUAUCUUCUUUCGAUUUCUGGCUCUCCGAUAUGGCAAAGGUGAGCUUGCCCCGAGUGUUGGAUAUUUGGAAGGUUUGGUGUCUUGGAAAAAUCGUAUUUUAUUUUGGUAUUAAUUAACUUUCCGAUUUAAUGUAUUUUGUUUUUAAAUUAUAAACUCGUUCUAUUUGGAAUUCAUUUGAUUAAAAGGUUUGACAUUUUAUUUUAUU